UGUAGGUAGAUUCGCUGAGUGUGCUA
RNAcentral lists this non-coding RNA (26 nucleotides) under Bombyx mori (domestic silkworm). Lineage: Eukaryota; Metazoa; Arthropoda; Insecta; Lepidoptera; Bombycidae. The record is from RNAcentral.